GUGGGGAAUCUUAGACAAUGGGGGAAACCCUGAUCUAGCCAUGCCGCGUGGACGAUGAAGGCCUUAGGGUUGUAAAGUCCUUUCAGCUGGGAAGAUAAUGACGGUACCAGCAGAAGAAGCCCCGGCUAACUCCGUGCCAGCAGCCGCGGUAAUACGGAGGGGGCUAGCGUUGUUCGGAAUUACUGGGCGUAAAGCGCACGUAGGCGGACUGGAAAGUUGGGGGUGAAAUCCCAGGGCUCAACCCUGGAACUGCCUUCAAAACUAUCAGUCUGGAGUUCGAGAGAGGUGAGUGGAAUUCCGAGUGUAGAGGUGAAAUUCGUAGAUAUUCGGAGGAACACCAGUGGCGAAGGCGGCUCACUGGCUCGAUACUGACGCUGAGGUGCGAAAGCGUGGGGAGCAAACAGGAUUAGAAACCCUAGUAGUCC
Molecule: ribosomal RNA, 425 nt
Filed under: uncultured bacterium
Lineage: Bacteria
Description: bacterial SSU rRNA
Rfam family: Bacterial small subunit ribosomal RNA
Source: RNAcentral